RNAcentral lists this ribosomal RNA (253 nucleotides) under uncultured bacterium. RNAcentral describes it as "partial 16S ribosomal RNA". It matches the Rfam family "Bacterial small subunit ribosomal RNA", at positions 524 to 776 of the family's 1533-position model. The record is from RNAcentral.
AACGUAGGGGGCAAGCGUUGCCCGGAUUCACUGGGCGUAAAGCGGGUGUAGGCGGUUCCUUAAGUCAGAUGUGAAAUCCUGCGGCUCAACCGCGGAACUGCAUCUGAUACUGGGGAACUUGAGGACGGUAGAGGUCGGUGGAAUACCCUGUGUACCGGUGAAAUGGGCAGAUAUAGGGUGGAACACCAGUGGCGAAGGCGGCCGACUGGGCCGAUCCUGACGCUGAGACCCGAAAGCCAGGGUAGCGAACAGG